Molecule: ribosomal RNA, 325 nt
Filed under: Thalassiosira minuscula
Lineage: Eukaryota; Bacillariophyta; Thalassiosirophyceae; Thalassiosirales; Thalassiosiraceae
Description: partial Bacterial small subunit ribosomal RNA
Rfam family: Bacterial small subunit ribosomal RNA
Source: RNAcentral
GAGAUGUUGGGUUAAGUCCCGCAACGAGCGCAACCCUUUUCCUUAUUUGCCAGCGGGUUAAGCCGGGAACUUUAAGGAUACUGCCAGUGACAAACUGGAGGAAGGCGGGGACGACGUCAAGUCAUCAUGGCCCUUAUGGCCUGGGCUACACACGUGCUACAAUGGCAAGUACAAAGGGUUGCUAACUCGCGAGAGUGUGCUAAUCCCAUAAAGCUUGUCGUAGUCCGGAUCGCAGUCUGCAACUCGACUGCGUGAAGUCGGAAUCGCUAGUAAUCGCGGAUCAGAAUGCCGCGGUGAAUACGUUCCCGGGCCUUGUACACACCGC